UGGGGAAUCUUCCGCAAUGGGCGAAAGCCUGACGGAGCAACGCCGCGCGAGUGAAGACGGCCUUCGGGUUGUAAAGCUCUGUUAUACGGGACGAAUAAUCUUGUGGUUAAUACCCAUGAGAAGUGACGGUACCGUAAGAGAAAGCCACGGCUAACUACGUGCCAGCAGCCGCGGUAAUACGUAGGUGGCAAGCGUUGUCCGGAAUUAUUGGGCGUAAAGGGCGCGCAGGCGGCUUCUUAAGUCUGUCUUAAAAGUGCGGGGCUUAACCCCGUGAUGGGAUGGAAACUGGGAAGCUCAGAGUAUCGGAGAGGAAAGCGGAAUUCCUAGUGUAGCGGUGAAAUGCGUAGAUAUUAGGAGGAACACCAGUGGCGAAAGCGGCUUUCUGGACGAAAACUGACGCUGAGGCGCGAAAGCCAGGGGAGCGAACGGGAUUAGAUACCCCGGUAGUCCUGGCCGUAAACGAUGGGUACUAGGUGUAGGAGGUAUCGACCCCUUCUGUGCCGGAGUUAACGCAAUAAGUACCCCGCCUGGGGAGUACGGCCGCAAGGUUG
RNAcentral lists this ribosomal RNA (551 nucleotides) under uncultured bacterium. RNAcentral's name for it is "bacterial SSU rRNA". It matches the Rfam family "Bacterial small subunit ribosomal RNA", at positions 355 to 896 of the family's 1533-position model. The record is from RNAcentral.